AUGCCCUUCUUAAGCAUGGUGCAGACCAUAAAGGGGCAGAUAAUGGCGAGAGUUUAUUCCAAGAAGGAAGAAGCAGGGAAGUGGCAUGGCACCGUAUGUCCAAAAAUUAGGAAAAGACCUCAAAGGCAUGUGGAAGCUGCUAAUACAUGCACGGCUGACCCAGCAGGACUUGGGAUAUUCCAAGUUAAUGACAGAGGUGCAGAUUUUGAAGUGGACAUCAGGUUGAGGACUUGUAGCUGCAAGAGAUGGGAUUUGACUGGAAUACCAUGUUGUCAUGGAGUGGCUGCUUGUAGGCAUGACCAAAUACCUCCAGAAGAAAUGGUGCAGUCAUGCUACUCCAUUCAAACAUAUUUAAAAGCAUAUGAGCAUAUUAUCAUGCCAUGCAAAGAUGUGGCUGAGUGGCAGAGAAUGUAUGGAAGAGAAAUACUUCCUCCACCAAUUCUGAAAAAGAAAGGAAGGAGAAAUAAAAAUAGGAGACAACAACCAGAAGAGAAAGAGGGAAGGGCAGGGCGAAAAAUGGGUAGAGGAGGGGCUGUUAUCCAUUGCAGCUAUUGUGGUGCUGCGGGCCACAAUAUCGGAGGAUGCACUGAUUUUAAGCUUGGUUUGAAACCAAAGAAAAAGGGCAAGGUAGUUAGAGCUGAGCCACCGGUUUCCUCUGAUUCAGAAAAUGAGGAUCCAGUCCUAACUCAGGUAAUGUAUAUAAUAGUAUGUGCCAUUUCUCAUUAG
Molecule: ribosomal RNA, 726 nt
Filed under: Triticum aestivum (bread wheat)
Lineage: Eukaryota; Viridiplantae; Streptophyta; Magnoliopsida; Poales; Poaceae
Description: partial small subunit ribosomal RNA
Source: RNAcentral